GCAUUGGUGGUUCAGUGGUGGAAUUCUUCCCCUCCAUGUGGGAGAUCUGGGUUCAAUUCCCAGCCACUGCA
RNAcentral lists this transfer RNA (71 nucleotides) under Loxodonta africana (African savanna elephant). It matches the Rfam family "tRNA". From Rfam's summary of the family: Transfer RNA (tRNA) molecules are approximately 80 nucleotides in length. Their secondary structure includes four short double-helical elements and three loops (D, anti-codon, and T loops). Further hydrogen bonds mediate the characteristic L-shaped molecular structure. tRNAs have two regions of fundamental functional importance: the anti-codon, which is responsible for specific mRNA codon recognition, and the 3' end, to which the tRNAs corresponding amino acid is attached (by aminoacyl-tRNA synthetases). tRNAs cope with the degeneracy of the genetic code in two manners: having more than one tRNA (with a specific anti-codon) for a particular amino acid; and 'wobble' base-pairing, i.e. permitting non-standard base-pairing at the 3rd anti-codon position. Lineage: Eukaryota; Metazoa; Chordata; Mammalia; Proboscidea; Elephantidae. The record is from Rfam by way of RNAcentral.